This 253-nucleotide ribosomal RNA is filed under the name uncultured bacterium. Its description in RNAcentral is "partial 16S ribosomal RNA". It matches the Rfam family "Bacterial small subunit ribosomal RNA", at positions 524 to 776 of the family's 1533-position model. The record is from RNAcentral.
GACGAACCGUGCGAACGUUGUUCGGAAUCACUGGGCUUAAAGGGCGCGUAGGCGGGCGGACACGUCCGGGGUGAAAUCGUUCGGCUUAACCGGACCAGGGCCUCGGAUACGGGCCGCCUCGAGGGGGGUAGGGGCACGCGGAACUGCGGGUGGAGCGGUGAAAUGCGUUGAUAUCCGCAGGAACGCCGGUGGCGAAAGCGGCGUGCUGGAUCCCCACUGACGCUGAGGCGCGAAAGCCAGGGGAGCGAACGGG